CUACGUGCCAGCAGCCGCGGUAAUACGUAGGUCCCGAGCGUUGUCCGGAUUUAUUGGGCGUAAAGCGAGCGCAGGCGGUUAGAUAAGUCUGAAGUUAAAGGCUGUGGCUUAACCAUAGUACGCUUUGGAAACUGUUUAACUUGAGUGCAGAAGGGGAGAGUGGAAUUCCAUGUGUAGCGGUGAAAUGCGUAGAUAUAUGGAGGAACACCGGUGGCGAAAGCGGCUCUCUGGUCUGUAACUGACGCUGAGGCUCGAAAGCGUGGGGAGCAAACAGGAUUAGAUACCCUGGUAGUCCACGCCGUAAACGAUGAGUGCUAGGUGUUGGGUCCUUUCCGGGACUCAGUGCCGCAGCUAACGCAUUAAGCACUCCGCCUGGGGAGUACGACCGCAAGGUUGAAACUCAAAGGAAUUGACGGGGGCCCGCACAAGCGGUGGAGCAUGUGGUUUAAUUCGACGCAACGCGAGGAACCUUACCAGCGUUUGACAUC
This 488-nucleotide ribosomal RNA is filed under the name uncultured bacterium. RNAcentral's name for it is "bacterial SSU rRNA". It matches the Rfam family "Bacterial small subunit ribosomal RNA", at positions 501 to 988 of the family's 1533-position model. The record is from RNAcentral.